RNAcentral lists this long non-coding RNA (512 nucleotides) under Elaeis guineensis (African oil palm). Its description in RNAcentral is "long non-coding RNA (EGUI_LNC080523)". The record is from RNAcentral. Lineage: Eukaryota; Viridiplantae; Streptophyta; Magnoliopsida; Arecales; Arecaceae.
UGCGAGUUGUGGCAUUCGACAAGUGGUGCAACCUGCAGGAUCUCAAGACCAACCUCGACUUGUUAGAAGAAAAGUAAAAAAUAGCUCAAGUUCGGAUAGCGGCCUACAAGUAGAAAGUAGCCCGCUACUACAAUUUCCAGGUCAAAAGCAAAGUCUUCAGAGUGGGGGACUUGGUACUAUGACGAGCCGCUAUCUCACAACCUUAGAAUCAAGGAAAACUUGUCCCAAACUGGGAAGGCCCAUACGAAGUUAAGGAGGUGGUCCGGCAUGAAACAUACUAUUUAAAAGAGCUCGAAGGAGCAGAACUUCCACGACCAUGAAAUUCAGAAAAUCUGCGAAUGUAUUACCAAUAGCUUUGCCUUAAAUAAAAGUUUCAUACUUGCAUAUUUUUCUUUUAGUAUGAGUUUACAACGACAGGGAGUAACUCCCUCAUACAAUCAAAAUUAAGCUUGUUAGUAACAGGAGGAGAACCUCAUCCUAACAUGAGCAAAGAUGAAGGCUUGAUUUCUUAA